This 597-nucleotide ribosomal RNA is filed under the name Triticum aestivum (bread wheat). RNAcentral describes it as "partial small subunit ribosomal RNA". Lineage: Eukaryota; Viridiplantae; Streptophyta; Magnoliopsida; Poales; Poaceae. The record is from RNAcentral.
UGUAACAUGGAGGCUUCAAAGCGUGCUGCAUAUGUGAAGAAGAUUCAUGAGAAGACCAGAGAAGAGAUAGAAAGGAAGUCCAAGUACUAUGCUGCUAAGGCAAACAAAAAUCGCAAGAAGGUGACUUUUGAGCCCGGAGAUCUGGUUUGGAUACAUUUGCGGAAAGAUCGGUUCCCAGAGAAGUGCAAAUCCAAGCUAAUGCCUUGUGGAGAUGGACCAUUCAAAGUCUUGGCCAAGAUCAAUGACAAUGCUUACAAGAUCGAGCUUCCUGAAGACUAUGCUGUGAGUCCAACAUUCAACGUUGCUGAUUUGUCUCCAUGCUUCGAUCAAGCGGGUCAAGAGUCGAGGACGACUCCUUUUGAAGAGGGGGAGGAUGAUGAGGACAUCCCAGGUUCACCUCGUUUAUCAUCUUCUCCUGAUGAUAAACCUCAGCCAUCAAGUGAAGCUUCUACAAAGAAGAUCUAUUUGGGUCCCAUGACAAGGAGCCGUGCCAAACAAAUAGCACAAGAGGUGAACGCACUCCUAGCUUAUCAUAAUUCAAAUGACAAUGAAAACUUUAUACUGCCUAAAUCUCGUGUGCUGAUUUUACUUAGGUAC